AAACGCUAGAAUUUAUUCCUUCUACCUGAAUAGAAACUGGAUUUGGAUGGAUAUACCACAGUCAUAAGGAUGAAGAAGAUAAACACAGACAUAGAACCAAUUUCUUGUCAUCCUUUCCAUGUGUUCUUUUGACUCUGUGGACCUCCUGUUCAAUUCUUUGCUUCUUUGACUGUGAGAAGCUACACACAGAGACUGGAAGUGUGUGUUGCCUGCCCUGGAACUAGAGUUACAAGCAGUCGUGAGCUGCCAUGCAUGAUAUGGGAACCAAAUCCUGGUCCCAGGGAUCCAAACCUUCGAUCAAUGGGAAGGAGAAAACUUCCUCAGGGAGGCAGUGGGCUUGCUUCACAUUGACUGGUGAGGGCAGCAGAGGGCUUUCAAGUGA
Long non-coding RNA from Mus pahari (shrew mouse), 382 nucleotides. RefSeq lists it as uncharacterized. Lineage: Eukaryota; Metazoa; Chordata; Mammalia; Rodentia; Muridae. The record is from RefSeq and is a predicted model, not a curated record. The transcript has 4 exons.